This 256-nucleotide ribosomal RNA is filed under the name uncultured bacterium. RNAcentral's name for it is "partial 16S ribosomal RNA". It matches the Rfam family "Bacterial small subunit ribosomal RNA", at positions 524 to 777 of the family's 1533-position model. The record is from RNAcentral.
UACGGAGGGUGCGAGCGUUGUCCGGAAUCAUUGGGCGUAAAGGGCGCGUAGGUGGCCACUUCAAGCGUGCGGUGAAAGUCGGGGGGCUCAACCCCUGAUCGGCCGUGCGAACUGGGGGGCUGGAGCACUGUAGAGGCAGGCGGAAUUCCGGGUGUAGCGGUGGAAUGCGUAGAGAUCCGGAAGAACACCAAAGGCGAAGGCAGUGUCCUGGGGAGUACCUGACGCUCAGGUGCGAAAGCCAGGGGAGCGAACGGGG